This is a non-coding RNA of Paramuricea clavata, 3062 nucleotides long. Lineage: Eukaryota; Metazoa; Cnidaria; Anthozoa; Malacalcyonacea; Plexauridae. The record is from the annotation of a GenBank genome assembly.
GCCAUGCAAACAUUCAAAGAACUUAAAAAUAAACAUUUGUAUAAAUUUUGGGCGUGACAAUUUUCGCAUGUUCAUAAGUUCAUUGUACGUUUUUUAUUAUUGACACGGUUUCCAAUUUACUAUAGUUUCGAUCUCGAUAAUACAAAAAUGUUUAUCUGGGGCCGAGUCUGGGGCCAGUUGUAUCAAGCCCGUUUAGCUUAAACGGUGGUUAAGCUCAAAACAGAAAGCAACUAAGCAAGUCAUCGAUUUAUUCAACAAUCAAGCUAAACGUUUCAGUAGUGGCCGUGUAAAAAACGCGACCGUACAUAUUAGAAAUAAUUCGUUUUAUCAAUUCAUUCAUUAGAAUGAUCAUUUUAUAUGAUAACCCGUUUAUACUGACCUUGCAUAUAAAUAUCUAAUGAAAUACAAAUUGUCAAACACUAAAAACACUGGUGGUCAUCGAGGUUUAUGACGAUUACGGCUGAUUUGUAAUUUAUCCGUUCUUCUUAUAAUCGUUGUUUACAAUAAAUUGCAAAAAUAAUGCCCAAAAUUCCAAAUGCAACUCUUGUUCUCGUUUGAUCAAGUAAUGAAAGUUGAGAAAACUCUGAUGUAAACUCUCGCUUGUCACCUCUCGUGCAACUCUUGUUCCCGUUUGAUCAAGUAAUGAAAGUUGAGAAAACUCUGAUGUAAACUCUCGCUUGUCAACUCUCAUGCAACUGUUGUUCUCGUUUGAACAAGUAAUGAAAGUUGAGAAAACUCUCAUGUAAACUCUCGCUUGUCAACUUUCAUGCAACUCUUGUUCUCGUUUGAUCAAGUAAUGAAAGUUGAGAAAACUCUGAUGUAAACUCUCGCUUGUCAACUUUCAUGCAACUCUUGUUCUCGUUUGAUCAAGCAAUGAAAAGUUGAGAAAACUCUCAUGUAAACUAUCGCUUGUCAACUCUCAUGCAACUCUUGUUCUCGUUUGAUCAAGCAAUGAAAGUUGAGUUUCAAGCCUUAUGUACCAAAGGAUUGCCUAAAUCAGGUUUACAAUGCUCUUGUGCAGCCAUGUUUUGACUAUUGCUCUCUGCAUGGUAUGGCAAAAUUGUAAACUAGAGUUGUAAUUGAAACUUCACAAGCUCAAAAUAUGGCAGCAUACGCUUUUGCUUAUGCGCAAAAUACUAAAAAAAUGAAGUUUCUAGAUCAAUAUCAGACCAGUUUCACAUUUCAGCAAACGAUCAAUAUAAUCUACGUAGUAGAAAAGUACACUGCAUGGUAGCAGAAAACGGCAGGGGCGUCAAUGAUUACAUGUUAAGAGAUCUUUAAAAUAAAAUUGUUUACUGGGUAAUAUCUUCUUAUAUUAUAAAAGAAAUAGAAAAACUUGUAAUGCACUCCAGGAGUUUAGGGAUAUUACGAUUACAAUUAACAUUUCUAUAGCACAAAUUUACAUAUGAUAUGAUCAAAUGCGCUUUACAUCAAUAAAUUACGCUUACAUCAUUAUAUACUUAGCCUAGACUAUUUUAUCUUUACAACAAUUGUGAUAUUACUUUCUUUCCUGUGUUUAUCCUACCCCACCCUGUCAACUUUCCCUGUGGGAGGAAACCGGAGCGCCCGGAGAAAACGACUUUCGGCAGAGCGUUGAAUUUCGGCAGAGCGUUGAUUGAAUACGUGAGAAGCGUGUAAAUUCUAUUAUACCUCGUGUUUUACACGCUUCUCUCGUAUUCUCCCAACAUUCCCCCCAUGCAUAAUCACACCGUAAACGCACGCGACUCGUUUUCUAGUUCUUAAAUAUAAAUAUGUCCCAAUUCAUUGAGAAAGGAAUGAAGGGAGUAUCUCUUACACAGCACACGUCAGGCAGAUAAUAAGUAUAUGAAAGACUAUAAAUCAGAGAAGUUUAGCAAAUGUGUUUUUGUAUUUUAUAGACGCGUUCUAUGGAAAUUUUUGCUUACCACAACCGGUGGUUUUCAGGUGGCUACUGGCUAAGCAAAACAAAUUGAGAAUUAACCAAAUAGAAAGAUGACAGCACCUGUGGAUAUAGAUCUUGAAUUAGACCUUGAAUACCUAAAAGAGCUUCAUGGACCUCAUAGCGCCUCAGAAAAGAAUAGGGUACCUAAAAAUAAAGAAAUGCAGAUGUAUAUGAAUUCAACUACCAGAAAAAUGUAAGUGAAACUUCGACAUUUCGAGCGAAGCCCGUUCGUUGGGAAGUUAGAGAAUUAUGAGAGCAUAUGCUGUCGCAGUACUGCAAUACUACAGAAACAAGUAUGACGUGCCGACUGGCCAAGUUCACAAGCUAAUGGCUAGUCUAUGUAAUAAGAGUAAGUAUGUAGUCACUACAGAAAUUUGCAGCUAUACAUGGACCUAGAUGUUAAAGUACUAAGGUUCAUAGAGUGUACAUGCUUCUCGAGUAUACAUGACGAGUGCAUUGUCACACCGUAAACACACGGGAAUUUUCCUUUUUCUUUUAUAAUAUAAGAAGAAGAUAUUACCCAGUAAGCAAUUCUAUUUUAAAGUACUACAAAUGAACUACACAAAAAUUGGCUACAGGGCCGUAACUAGACGCGAUAAUUGGGGAGGGGGGUGCGUAUUCAUAUAUUCGCGUUCUGCCCUACUCUAAUGAAAGCAUUGUUUUUACGAUAUGUGAAAAUGAAUAUAUGAAUACGCCCCCCCCCCCCCCCAAACUGGCUAAUUGGAUUGAGAAAUUGGAAAUACACAUAAGAAUAGAACUUCUGCAAAAAACAGCAUUGUUAGGGACAGCAAAAAUACUGAUCGUUGGGACUUGAGGCUACUGAUUGUAGCCAGCUUCCAAAGAAAAAUGGCCAGCAUAAGAACAAAGCUGUGAAAAACUUAUAAUUAUUCUUAUACCUAUACCUAUACCAGGUAUAGGUGUAGGUAUGAAGACGUACUACUAUUGGAAAACGACCUUCUCAUCUCAGUUAGUGGUAUGACAAACGAUUACGAAUUUUCAUUUUAAGGUGGACUCCAUAUAACCGACGAAGGGGUGUGCGUCAAAUACUAACGGUGUCAAACUAGAUCCAUCCAAGGAAAUGCUUCCAUGGACAAAAAUACGGGAAACUUCAGGUAAGACCCUAAUUCUUAUUGGAGACUAU